This 447-nucleotide ribosomal RNA is filed under the name uncultured bacterium. Its description in RNAcentral is "bacterial SSU rRNA". It matches the Rfam family "Bacterial small subunit ribosomal RNA", at positions 330 to 794 of the family's 1533-position model. The record is from RNAcentral.
ACCAGACUCCUACGGGAGGCAGCAGUGGGGGAUAUUGCACAAUGGGGGAAACCCUGAUGCAGCAACGCCGCGUGAGUGAAGAAGUAUUUCGGUAUGUAAAGCUCUAUCAGCAGGGAAGAGAAUGACGGUACCUGACUAAGAAGCCCCGGCUAACUACGUGCCAGCAGCCGCGGUAAUACGUAGGGGGCGAGCGUUAUCCGGAUUUACUGGGUGUAAAGGGAGCGUAGACGGCUGGUCAAGUCUGAAGUGAAAGCCCGGGGCUUAACCCCGGAACGGCUUUGGAAACUGAGCAGCUAGAGUGCUGGAGAGGUAAGCGGAAUUCCUAGUGUAGCGGUGAAAUGCGUAGAUAUUAGGAGGAACACCAGUGGCGAAGGCGGCUUACUGGACAGUAACUGACGUUGAGGCUCGAAAGCGUGGGGAGCAAACAGGAUUAGAUACCCCAGUAGC